Non-coding RNA from Weissella confusa LBAE C39-2, 170 nucleotides. The record is from Rfam. NCBI's taxonomy places the organism in Bacteria, Bacillati, Bacillota, Bacilli, Lactobacillales, Lactobacillaceae.
AUUAUUGAUAGAGGUUGCGACCAACAAGAGUAGCUUAACCGAGCCGGCACCGGCAAGGACGUUAAGUCAAAGGGGCGGUCGCCGAAAUGAAUUAGCGCAACUAAUUUGUUGGGACAACAGUUAAGAGCUGUUGGACUGUCGCUGGAAAUCAGCGGAGAGCUAUCGUAACA